Dermacentor andersoni is the source of this 671-nucleotide long non-coding RNA. RefSeq lists it as uncharacterized. NCBI's taxonomy places the organism in Eukaryota, Metazoa, Arthropoda, Arachnida, Ixodida, Ixodidae. The record is from RefSeq and is a predicted model, not a curated record.
CGCGUCGACAUCGGACGCUAUGACACACUCGUGCCUUAUGUGCCACCGAAGCCCCGAAGUGCUCUGGCAUAUACCUUCACAUGUUUCCCUUCAGUAGGAAAUUGCUGGACAGGCGGACCAGCGCACCGGAAUUGUACUGGCGAAGCCACAAGCAACUCAAAGAAUCUGUUUAAUUGUUGUACUUUGAACAAUUAUGCUUCUACAAAGGCCACAGCAGAAAAACAGCCUGAUGCCGAGUAUUUCUGUGCCACGAAGUAAUCAAGAGAUAUGCAAUGGCAAGCCCUUCCGUGUGUUCCAAAGGUAAAAUUUAAGCUCUAAAUUAAAGAAGACAUUUCUAGUCAGAAACAAGCAAAAAUGGUGAAUGCAGAGUAUCAGAAGCCCAAGGUACAGAAAUUAUGAGAAGUGUCGAAUGAUUUUUAGGAAAGAGUCGUAUUUGAAAAAGCAAGACUCUUUAGUGGAGGUCAAGCAAGUCAAUAUAGGUAGAAUACUCUGCAAAAUUAUGCGAGUGAGGGGAUGUCAAACAAUGGGUCAGGAAAUGCAUUGUUUUUCUGCAAAACAAAAGCUCAUUGCCAUUGCAUAAGUCACUUUAACGUCAUGAGACUGCUGCUUGAUAAAUUCAGAAAUAAACCAAAAAACAAGACACGCAAAAAUUAAAAAAAAAAACAAUUUAA